RNAcentral lists this ribosomal RNA (497 nucleotides) under uncultured bacterium. RNAcentral's name for it is "partial 16S ribosomal RNA". It matches the Rfam family "Bacterial small subunit ribosomal RNA", at positions 29 to 507 of the family's 1533-position model. The record is from RNAcentral.
AAUGAACGCUGGCGGCAUGCCUAAUACAUGCAAGUCGAACGAGACGACGAGGAGUAUGCGCCUCUGAGUGCGUAACGGGACGGGAGCGUAACACAUGGUCAGAAUAACUAUCCGACGGGGGUAACAACAGGAAACAAGGGCUACUACCGGAAAAUAUAUUGACCCGGAUGGUUCCCUCGUGGAAUACGGUAUUUGUGUGACUAAAAGAUUACCACGCGCAGCAUUAGCUAGUUGGUAAGGUAACGGCUUACCAAGGCAACGAUGGGUACCCGACCUGAGAGGGUGAUCGGCCACACUGGAACUGAGACACGGUCCAGACUCCUACGGGAGGCAGCAGUAGGGAAUCUUCCGCAAUGGGCGAAAGCUUGACGGAGCAACGCCGCGUGAGUGAUGAAGGUCUUCGGAUCGUAAAACUCUGUUAUUAGGGAAGAACAAAUGUGUAAGUAACUAUGCACGUCUUGACGGUACCUAAUCAGAAAGCCACGGCUAACUACGUG